Molecule: ribosomal RNA, 380 nt
Filed under: uncultured bacterium
Lineage: Bacteria
Description: bacterial SSU rRNA
Rfam family: Bacterial small subunit ribosomal RNA
Source: RNAcentral
CUCGCGUGUCGUGCCAGCCGCCGCGGUAAUACGUAGGGUGCAAGCGUUAAUCGGAAUUACUGGGCGUAAAGCGUGCGCAGGCGGUUGUGCAAGACAGGUGUGAAAUCCCCGGGCUUAACCUGGGAACUGCACUUGUGACUGCACAGCUGGAGUGCGGCAGAGGGGGAUGGAAUUCCGCGUGUAGCAGUGAAAUGCGUAGAUAUGCGGAGGAACACCGAUGGCGAAGGCAAUCCCCUGGGCCUGCACUGACGCUCAUGCACGAAAGCGUGGGGAGCAAACAGGAUUAGAUACCCUGGUAGUCCACGCCCUAAACGAUGUCAACUGGUUGUUGGACGGCUUGCUGUUCAGUAACGUAGCUAACGCGUGAAGUUGACCGCCGU